CUCGUAGGCGGUCUGUUGCGUCGGGAGUGAAAACUUACAGCUUAACUGUGAGCGUGCUUCCGAUACGGGCAGACUUGAGGUAUUCAGGGGAGAACGGAAUUCCUGGUGUAGCGGUGAAAUGCGCAGAUAUCAGGAGGAACACCGGUGGCGAAGGCGGUUCUCUGGGAAUAUCCUGACGCUGAGGAGCGAAAGUGUGGGGAGCGAACA
Molecule: ribosomal RNA, 207 nt
Filed under: uncultured bacterium
Lineage: Bacteria
Description: partial 16S ribosomal RNA
Rfam family: Bacterial small subunit ribosomal RNA
Source: RNAcentral